CCUACGGUGGUCAGCAGUGAGUAAUAUUGGUCAAUGGGCGGGAGCCUGAACCAGCCAAGUCGCGUGAGGGAAGACGGUCCUAUGGAUUGUACACCUCUUUAGGCGUGGAGCAAUGCCGGGCACGUGUGCCCGGAGUGCGAGUACCCGCAGAAUAAGCAUCGGCUAACUCCGUCCCAGCAGCCGCGGUAAUACGGAGGAUGCGAGCGUUAUCCGGAUUUAUUGGGUUUAAGGGGUGCGUAGGCGGAUUUUUAAGUCAGCGGUAAAAUGUCCGGGCUCAACCCGGGCCGGCCGUUGAAACUGGGGAUCUUGAGUGGGCGAGAAGUAUGCGGAAUGCGGGGUGUAGAGGUGAAAUGCAUAGAUAUCACGCAGAACUCCGAUUGCGAAGGCAGCAUACCGGCGCCCGACUGACGCUGAGGCACGAAAGCGUGGGGAUCGAACAGGAUUAGAUACCCGUGUAGUC
RNAcentral lists this ribosomal RNA (460 nucleotides) under uncultured bacterium. Its description in RNAcentral is "partial 16S ribosomal RNA". It matches the Rfam family "Bacterial small subunit ribosomal RNA", at positions 338 to 795 of the family's 1533-position model. The record is from RNAcentral.